This 253-nucleotide ribosomal RNA is filed under the name uncultured bacterium. RNAcentral describes it as "partial 16S ribosomal RNA". It matches the Rfam family "Bacterial small subunit ribosomal RNA", at positions 524 to 776 of the family's 1533-position model. The record is from RNAcentral.
UACAGAGGUCUCAAGCGUUGUUCGGAAUUACUGGGCGUAAAGGGCGCGUAGGCGGCCUGUUAAGUCGGUUGUGAAAGCCCGGGGCUCAACCCCGGAACGGCAGCCGAGACUGGCGGGCUCGAGACCGGGAGAGGUGGGUGGAAUACCCAGUGUAGAGGUGAAAUUCGUAGAUAUUGGGUGGAACACCGGUGGCGAAAGCGGCUCACUGGCCCGGUUCUGACGCUGAGGCGCGAAAGCGUGGGGAGCAAACAGG